RNAcentral lists this ribosomal RNA (825 nucleotides) under Sphaerulina menispermi. RNAcentral describes it as "eukaryotic LSU rRNA". It matches the Rfam family "Eukaryotic large subunit ribosomal RNA", at positions 71 to 925 of the family's 3401-position model. The record is from RNAcentral. RNAcentral also lists the same sequence under 2 other names. Lineage: Eukaryota; Fungi; Ascomycota; Dothideomycetes; Mycosphaerellales; Mycosphaerellaceae.
GGGAUUGCCCUAGUAACGGCGAGUGAAGCGGCAACAGCUCAAAUUUGAAAUCUGGCGCAAGCCCGAGUUGUAAUUUGUAGAGGAUGCUUCUGGGUAGCGACCGGUCUAAGUUCCUUGGAACAGGACGUCAUAGAGGGUGAGAAUCCCGUAUGUGACCGGCCCGCACCCUUUACGUAGCUCCUUCGACGAGUCGAGUUGUUUGGGAAUGCAGCUCUAAAUGGGAGGUAAAUUUCUUCUAAAGCUAAAUACCGGCCAGAGACCGAUAGCGCACAAGUAGAGUGAUCGAAAGAUGAAAAGUACUUUGGAAAGAGAGUUAAAAAGCACGUGAAAUUGUUGAAAGGGAAGCGCCUGCAAUCAGACUUCGCGGCAGUGUUCCGCCGGUCUUCUGACCGGUUCAUUCUCUGUCGCGAGGCCAUCAUCGUCUCGGCCCGCUGGAUAAGACCUUGGGAAUGUAGCUCACCUUCGGGGGAGUGUUAUAGCUCAUGGUGAUGCAGCGAGGCUGGGGCGAGGUCCGCGCUUCGGCAAGGAUGAUGGCGUAAUGGUUGUCGGCGGCCCGUCUUGAAACACGGACCAAGGAGUCUAACAUCUAUGCGAGUGUUCGGGUGUCAAACCCCUACGCGUAAUGAAAGUGAACGGAGGUGGGAACCGCAAGGUGCACCAUCGACCGAUCCUGAUGUCCUCGGAUGGAUUUGAGUAAGAGCAUAGCUGUUGGGACCCGAAAGAUGGUGAACUAUGCCUGAAUAGGGUGAAGCCAGAGGAAACUCUGGUGGAGGCUCGCAGCGGUUCUGACGUGCAAAUCGAUCGUCAAAUUUGGGUAUAGGGGCG